CAAGUGGAGAGUUUGAUCCUGGCUCAGAACGAACGCUGGCGGCGUGCUUAACACAUGCAAGUCGAGCGCGAAAGGGGGCAACCCCGAGUAGAGCGGCGCACGGGUGAGUAACGCGUGGGUAACCUACCCCYVGGCGGGGGAUAACUACUCGAAAGGGUGGCUAAUACCGCAUGAGACCACGGGGUCUUCGGAUCCUGAGGCCAAAGGCGGCACCGGCUUGCCGGUGCUGUCACCUGGGGAUGGGCCCGCGUACGAUUAGCU
Molecule: ribosomal RNA, 261 nt
Filed under: Deltaproteobacteria bacterium
Lineage: Bacteria; Pseudomonadati; Myxococcota; Myxococcia
Description: partial 16S ribosomal RNA
Rfam family: Bacterial small subunit ribosomal RNA
Source: RNAcentral